GUUAUAAAUAAACAAAGUCGAUGUUAUUAAUUGAAAGAAGUUCUACCAUUGUUAUAUUCUUUAGUAAGAAAGGCUCUUUCUCACCCCAGGAUUAUUUUUCAAGUGAGUGACUAACUAAUGCGCAAAAGAACAUGUUGCCGGUAGUUGGAAGCAAUUUUAUAUCUUAAGCGCUUUGAAAUCGUUAGCGCAAGUGAAAAGAUGUUGAUGGCAACUUUCGUUAAGCAGUUAACAUCUGAUCUUGCGUGUGGAUGUGUGUGGUCUCGCAAAAUAUAAAUUAUGAUCAAAAGUGCAUUAAAUUUGAUCUUUUUGGCCAGUAAAUGGCAUAAAUUUGCGUGCUUACUCGAGGUGGUGCUGUUACUGUUAAGUUUAUAGCCUAAAUAGUAUUUUUGGAGCUUUAAUCAAACAUCAAACUCUCCAUAUGACGAAGAUAGGUGUUUGAUUAGAAAGAGUAUAUUUCCCCUACAAGGCAGAUGAGCAAAGAUAGAAAAUUCGAUGAAACUGGAUCGAUUUGGAUCAAACAGAGCUAUCUAAGCCCGAUCUCACGCACACUAGCUUGCCAUUUGUUUUUGCUGGCGGGUACAAAUUUUAACCUAAAAACCCUUCGUGUACAAACACGCAAUACAUGCGCAUGUAGAUAACUCUGAUAGAAACUCUGCAAAAUAUCAUAGAGUUAUCUACGUGCGCAUGUAUUGCGUGUACGUACACGAUGGAUUUCUAGGUUAAAAUUUGUACCCGCCAGCAAAAACAAAUGGUAAACUAGUGUGCGUGAGAUCGGGCUUAGAUAACUUGUAAUAACGAACUAGGGGGCAAUUACCACCACUAGUUCAUUAAUUAAAAAUUAAAUAAAAACCAGAACUUGAGACUCUUGGAGAUGAGAGAGAGAUGUAGAGAUCUGCAACUGCUCACAUUUGACGUGGGGAAGGAGAAUUGUACCUACCCUUUCACAAUCCUGGUUCGAUUCAGCUAAUCACACUGUCCUGGCAAAAAGAAUCACAAAAGAUCGUCGCUUUGGGUUAUGGAAAAGUCAUGUUUAUUGCAUUUAAUUGUCCUAAUUUAUUGUUUGUGUGUGUGUUCGUGUGUUCUAGUGUAUCCCGCGGUGGUCGAGUCAAGUCGGAGGUUCUUCCUCCGGCCAGGCCUGGCGCAGCAACGGUUUUGGUGUCUUUGGUUUUGUGUCUUUGUCUUGGAUAAAAAAAACCUGUACAGUGUUUAAGGCUUGUUUUAGUACUUGUGCUUUGUGUAACAGUGGUAACAAUGAACUCACCGGAUGGCCUUCGCCAUUGCGCUCUAACAAAUUCUCGGGUUGGCGCGCUCUGCCAACUUGGAGGUUCUGAGAAAGGAGUUCAUCUCUAAUAACUUGUUCUAGCUUUAACGUUUUGAUUUUGGAUAUUUACCACAUUUUUGUUACCUCCUUGCACCACCAACCAAACGACCACUGUUGACGUAGAGCGCGGUCCUUGACGGUUAGUUUGGAUGGUGCGGGUUGGGACCAACUCCCUGACACUACAAUUAACAAUUAAGACACUAAUUAGACACGACUCAAAAAUACAAGAACUAAAUUUACCAUUUCGCCGGCUACAGGAAUGCUGGGUACAAAUAACAGAUAUUCACAGCACUUUAAAUUACAAAACGUUCACAAUUUCUUCGUUUGACCAGAGUAUGUGUAACGGACUCUGGUCGGUAGCGGCAAAUGAGGACGAUUCAAAAUGACGAAGUCCCUUUUAUUAAUUUUAAGUCUUUGUUCUUGCGUAUUUCUAAAAUUGCUCAAAGAGAUGUGAGUCGUGCUAACCGUUUUAGGAAUAGGGAUACCAUGUUUUGUAUGUUGUUUAAGUGUAAUGGUUGAUUACAAUAUCCUAACUUGUCCCUACGGUUCAGUUUGACAGGAUGAUGCGAAGCAUUGUGACCAGAGAUUGUACUAUGUACAAGCGAUAGGUUACAAUUCCCCACCACCAGGGAAAAUGUGAGUUUUGCAGAAACUCCACAUUUUUCAAUCAUCAGUAGAAUCCCCUAGUUCUGGUAAAUUAUUUAGUUUUAUUGAUUAGUGGGCGCAUCUGUCAAAAAAUUCAAAGAACAACACGAAAUAAAUAACACAAAAAAUAAAUAAUAAAUAAAAUCUGUAAAGUGUAUAUGAAAAAAUUGUAAAUAAAAAAUCUGAAUAAAUAAAAAUUUCAAAAGUCAGCUUGUCAGAAUUGUUCAAAUUGGUCAGAAAUUAAUGUUGUCAAUUAUCACAGAAUUAUCACAGGGAAAUUUAUCAUUGGCUUAAAUUUGAGCCAUUUAUUUGUCACCCUUUAAAUUUUCAAUGAAUCAGAAGUGUUUGAUUUACAAACGAUACACUCAGUUGAAAAACAAAAGUAGGGUAAACAAACAAAAAUAAUCACAAGUAGUCUCAUCACAACCUCAA
Culex pipiens pallens (northern house mosquito) is the source of this 2398-nucleotide long non-coding RNA. RefSeq lists it as uncharacterized. Lineage: Eukaryota; Metazoa; Arthropoda; Insecta; Diptera; Culicidae. The record is from RefSeq and is a predicted model, not a curated record. The transcript is spliced from 2 exons.